UGGGGAAUUUUGGACAAUGGGCGAAAGCCUGAUCCAGCAAUGCCGCGUGUGUGAAGAGGGCCUUCGGGUUGUAAAGCACUUUUGUCCGGAAAGAAAUCCUUGGCUCUAAUACAGUCGGGGGAUGACGGUACCGGAAGAAUAAGCACCGGCUAACUACGUGCCAGCAGCCGCGGUAAUACGUAAGGUGCAAGCGUUAAUCGGAAUUACUGGGCGUAAAGCGUGCGCAGGCGGUUUGCUAAGACCGAUGUGAAAUCCCCGGGCUCAACCUGGGAACUGCAUUGGUGACUGGCAGGCUAGAGUAUGGCAGAGGGGGGUAGAAUUCCACGUGUAGCAGUGAAAUGCGUAGAGAUGUGGAGGAAUACCGAUGGCGAAGGCAGCCCCCUGGGCCAAUACUGACGCUCAUGCACGAAAGCGUGGGGAGCAAACAGGAUUAGAUACCCUGGUAGUCCACGCCCUAAACGAUGUCAACUAAUUGUUGGGGAUUCAUUUUCCUUAGUAACGUAGCUAACGCGUGAAGUUGACCGCCUGGGGAGUACGGUCGCAAGAUUAAAACUCAAAUGAAUUGACGGGGUCAUAGCUGUUUCCU
This 586-nucleotide ribosomal RNA is filed under the name uncultured bacterium. RNAcentral's name for it is "partial 16S ribosomal RNA". It matches the Rfam family "Bacterial small subunit ribosomal RNA", at positions 355 to 1375 of the family's 1533-position model. The record is from RNAcentral.